RNAcentral lists this ribosomal RNA (532 nucleotides) under Salmonella enterica. Its description in RNAcentral is "partial 23S ribosomal RNA". It matches the Rfam family "Bacterial large subunit ribosomal RNA", at positions 633 to 1165 of the family's 2925-position model. Lineage: Bacteria; Pseudomonadati; Pseudomonadota; Gammaproteobacteria; Enterobacterales; Enterobacteriaceae. The record is from RNAcentral.
UUCUGUAGCAAGGUUAACCGAAUAGGGGAGCCGGAGGGAAACCGAGUCUUAAUUGGGCGUUAAGUUGCAGGGUAUAGACCCGAAACCCGGUGAUCUAGCCAUGGGCAGGUUGAAGGUUGGGUAACACUAACUGGAGGACCGAACCGACUAAUGUUGAAAAAUUAGCGGAUGACCUGUGGCUGGGGGUGAAAGGCCAAUCAAACCGGGAGAUAGCUGGUUCUCCCCGAAAGCUAUUUAGGUAGCGCCUCGUGAAUUCAUCUCCGGGGGUAGAGCACUGUUUCGGCUAGGGGGCCAUCCCGGCUUACCAACCCGAUGCAAACUGCGAAUACCGGAGAAUGUUAUCACGGGAGACACACGGCGGGUGCUAACGUCCGUCGUGAAGAGGGAAACAACCCAGACCGCCAGCUAAGGUCCCAAAGUCAUGGUUAAGUGGGAAACGAUGUGGGAAGGCCCAGACAGCCAGGAUGUUGGCUUAGAAGCAGCCAUCAUUUAAAGAAAGCGUAAUAGCUCACUGGUCGAGUCGGCCUGCGCG